This 448-nucleotide ribosomal RNA is filed under the name uncultured bacterium. Its description in RNAcentral is "bacterial SSU rRNA". It matches the Rfam family "Bacterial small subunit ribosomal RNA", at positions 328 to 792 of the family's 1533-position model. The record is from RNAcentral.
AGCCCAGACUCCUACGGGAGGCAGCAGUGGGGAAUAUUGCACAAUGGGGGAAACCCUGAUGCAGCGACGCCGCGUGAGUGAAGAAGUAUUUCGGUAUGUAAAGCUCUAUCAGCAGGGAAGAAAAUGACGGUACCUGACUAAGAAGCCCCGGCUAACUACGUGCCAGUAGCCGCGGUAAUACGUAGGGGGCAAGCGUUAUCCGGAUUUACUGGGUGUAAAGGGUGCGUAGGUGGCAUGGCAAGUCAGAAGUGAAAGCCCGGGGCUCAACCCCGCGGACUGCUCUGGAAACUGUUAAGCUGGAGUGCGGGAGGGGCAGGCGGAAUUCCUGGUGUAGCGGUGAAAUGCGUAGAUAUCAGGAGGAACACCGGCGGCGAAGGCGGCCUGCUGGACCGUGACUGACGUUGAGGCUCGAAAGCGUGGGGAGCAAACAGGAUUAGAUACCCCCGUA